ACUCAAUAGAUACCCGGGUAGUCCACGCCCUAAACGAUGUCAACUAGUUGUCGGGGAUUAAUUUCCUUGGUAAACGCAGCUAAACGCGUGAAAGUUGACCGCCUGGGGAGUACGGUCGCAAGAUUAAAACUCAAAGGAAUUGACGGGGACCCGCACAAGCGGUGGAUGAUGUGGAUUAAUUCGAUGCAACGCGAAAAACCUUACCUACCCUUGACAUGGUCGGAACCCUGGAGAGAUCUGGGGGUGCUCGAAAGAGAACCGGCGCACAGGUGCUGCAUGGCUGUCGUCAGCUCGUGUCGUGAGAUGUUGGGUUAAGUCCCGCAACGAGCGCAACCCUUGUCAUUAGUUGCUACGAAAGGGCACUCUAAUGAGACUGCCGGUGACAAACCGGAGGAAGGUGGGGAUGACGUCAAGUCCUCAUGGCCCUUAUGGGUAGGGCUUCACACGUCAUACAAUGGUACAUACAGAGGGCUGCCAACCCGCGAGGGGGUAGCUAAUCCCAGAAAGUGUAUCGUAGUCCGGAUUGCAGUCUGCAACUCG
This 540-nucleotide ribosomal RNA is filed under the name uncultured bacterium. RNAcentral describes it as "bacterial SSU rRNA". It matches the Rfam family "Bacterial small subunit ribosomal RNA", at positions 772 to 1314 of the family's 1533-position model. The record is from RNAcentral.